GAUGAACGCUGGCGGCGUGCUUAACACAUGCAAGUCGAACGGAAAGGCCAGUGCUUGCACUGGUACUCGAGUGGCGAACGGGUGGGUAACACGUGGGUGAUCUGCCCUGUACUUCGGGAUAAGCUUGGGAAACUGGGUCUAAUACCGGAUAGGACAACUUUUUGGAUAUUGUUGUGGAAAGCUUUUGCGGUAUGGGAUGAGCUCGCGGCCUAUCAGCUUGUUGGUGGGGUAAUGGCCUACCAAGGCGUCGACGGGUAGCCGGCCUGAGAGGGUGUACGGCCACAUUGGGACUGAGAUACGGCCCAGACUCCUACGGGAGGCAGCAGUGGGGAAUAUUGCACAAUGGGCGCAAGCCUGAUGCAGCGACGCCGCGUGGGGGAUGAAGGCCUUCGGGUUGUAAACUCCUUUCGCUAGGGACGAAGCUUUUUUGUGACGGUACCUGGAGAAGAAGCACCGGCUAACUACGUG
Molecule: ribosomal RNA, 468 nt
Filed under: uncultured bacterium
Lineage: Bacteria
Description: partial 16S ribosomal RNA
Rfam family: Bacterial small subunit ribosomal RNA
Source: RNAcentral